This 255-nucleotide ribosomal RNA is filed under the name uncultured bacterium. RNAcentral describes it as "partial 16S ribosomal RNA". It matches the Rfam family "Bacterial small subunit ribosomal RNA", at positions 99 to 354 of the family's 1533-position model. The record is from RNAcentral.
CGGACGGGUGAGUAACGCGUGGAAAACCUGCCGUAUACUGGGGGAUAACACUUAGAAAUAGGUGCUAAUACCGCAUAAGCGCACAGCUUCGCAUGAAGCGGUGUGAAAAACUCUGGUGGUAUACGAUGGUUCCGCGUCUGAUUAGCUAGUUGGUGGGGUAAUGGCCUACCAAGGCAACGAUCAGUAGCCGGCCUGAGAGGGUGAACGGCCACAUUGGGGCUGAGACACGGCCCAAACUCCUACGGAAGGCAGCAG